CAGUAGCCGCGGUAAUACAGAGGGUGCGAGCGUUAAUCGGAUUUACUGGGCGUAAAGCGUGCGUAGGCGGCUUCUUAAGUCGGAUGUGAAAUCCCUGAGCUUAACUUAGGAAUUGCAUUCGAUACUGGGAAGCUAGAGUAUGGGAGAGGAUGGUAGAAUUCCAGGUGUAGCGGUGAAAUGCGUAGAGAUUUGGAGGAAUACCGAUGGCGAAGGCAGCCAUCUGGCCUAAUACUGACGCUGAGGUACGAAAGCAUGGGGAGCAAACAGGAUUAGAUACCCGAGUAGUCCCUGUCUCUUAUAC
RNAcentral lists this ribosomal RNA (301 nucleotides) under uncultured bacterium. RNAcentral describes it as "partial 16S ribosomal RNA". It matches the Rfam family "Bacterial small subunit ribosomal RNA", at positions 509 to 807 of the family's 1533-position model. The record is from RNAcentral.